GUGGGGAAUAUUGGACAAUGGGCGAAAGCCUGAUCCAGCAAUGCCGCGUGAGUGAAGAAGGCCUUAGGGUUGUAAAGCUCUUUUACCCGGGAAGAUAAUGACUGUACCGGGAGAAUAAGCCCCGGCUAACUCCGUGCCAGCAGCCGCGGUAAUACGGAGGGGGCUAGCGUUGUUCGGAAUUACUGGGCGUAAAGCGCACGUAGGCGGCUUUGUAAGUUAGAGGUGAAAGCCCAGGGCUCAACCCUGGAACUGCCUUUAAGACUGCAUCGCUUGAACACGGGAGAGGUGAGUGGAAUUCCGAGUGUAGAGGUGAAAUUCGUAGAUAUUCGGAAGAACACCAGUGGCGAAGGCGACUCACUGGACCGUUGUUGACGCUGAGGUGCGAAAGCGUGGGGAGCAAACAGGAUUAGAAACCCUUGUAGUCC
RNAcentral lists this ribosomal RNA (425 nucleotides) under uncultured bacterium. RNAcentral describes it as "partial 16S ribosomal RNA". It matches the Rfam family "Bacterial small subunit ribosomal RNA", at positions 354 to 796 of the family's 1533-position model. The record is from RNAcentral.